UGAUGUCAGGGUCAAAAGGUCAAAAUCCGAUUGUGCUUGCACAAAGAGGAUUGAGACCUUGGGACCCUGACAUCAUAAAAUUUCCACGACUCGAUAAAAAUAUGAGUUGUGGAAAUUUUUUGGUCGUUGCUUAUAACAAAGCUACAAUGCAGCU
RNAcentral lists this small RNA (154 nucleotides) under Lachnospiraceae bacterium. RNAcentral describes it as "Clostridiales-1 RNA". Lineage: Bacteria; Bacillati; Bacillota; Clostridia; Lachnospirales; Lachnospiraceae. The record is from RNAcentral.